Molecule: ribosomal RNA, 323 nt
Filed under: uncultured bacterium
Lineage: Bacteria
Description: bacterial SSU rRNA
Rfam family: Bacterial small subunit ribosomal RNA
Source: RNAcentral
AGAGUUUGAUCAUGGCUCAGAAUCACGCUGGCGGCGUGCUCAGACAUGCAAGUCGAACGAUUAACUUUCCUUCGGGAAAGAUAUAAAGUGGCGCACGGGUGAGUAACACGUAAGUAAUCUACCUUCGAGUGGGGAAUAACGUCCGGAAACGGACGCUAAUACCGCAUAAUGCAGCGGCAUCGCAAGAUGACAGUUGUUAAAGGAUUCAUUCGCUUGAAGAGGAGCUUGCGGCAGAUUAGCUUGUUGGUAAGGUAACGGCUUACCAAGGCUACGAUCUGUAACCGGUCUAAGAGGACGGUCGGUCACACUGACACUGAAUAACG